Molecule: ribosomal RNA, 107 nt
Filed under: Acanthosepion pharaonis
Lineage: Eukaryota; Metazoa; Mollusca; Cephalopoda; Sepiida; Sepiidae
Source: RNAcentral
CAUGUCACGUUGAAACACCGGUUCUCGUCCGAUCACUGAACUUAAGCAAAGUCGAGCUUGGUCAGUGCUUAGAUGGGUGACCACUUGGGAAUACCAGGUACUGUAAG